GUGUAAAAAAAAACAAUAAAACAAUAAAACAAAAAAUUGUCAAAUCAUGAAGUAAGAAUUCCGGAUAAGAGACCAGAGUUAAUCAUGCCCAUAAACGACGUAUUCAUUUCAUAAUGUAAUCCCAUAAUAAUAUUUAAAUAUGUCAUCUGCUACUGGGCUUGGACCUCCAGAAAAUAACAGAACAAAACGCCCAAUUUAGUAGGAUAUAUUUUUUACCCCAUUUGUGUGUUGGGCGGCCUUAGAGGCCUUAAAAUUUUAACCAGCGAAUGAGGACCAUAGGAUUAAUCUGACAUCUUCUUCUUCCCUCUUCUUCCUCGAUUAGUGUUUAUGAUUUUUUUUUUUUUUAGUGUUUAUGAUUUUAGUCUUAAGGUUUUAGCAAACUAUUUGAUUUUCUGCUCACCUCCCUUGCUCGUGAUCCCACUCAUUGAUAGUUAGUCUGGAUUUGAUCGCGACAUUGAUUAACAGUUGUGGUGAAGAAAUCCUAAUUUGGGAUAGUUUUUAGACAUACUACUCUGGUGAGUAAUGAGGAAGCUCAAGUAUCAUGAGAAGAAGGUUCUGAAGAAAUUAAAUUUCUUGGAAUGGAAAAGAGAAGGUGCAUGGCCAACGGCCCAACAGAUGGAUCCAACUGAUCCUUUUCGGAUUCAGAUGACUGAUAUGCUUCUCGAUAAACUCUUGAGUUUUACUUACCAGUGUGUACAGCUUCUUACAAGCAAUGGCUCUUUUGUUUCCUUAGGUCUUUUCAACAAGAGAGUUAUCCUUUUUCCGCUGCUGUUACAUCGAUCUUCACUUCAUAAGCUUCGAUACAACCUGGGAGUUAUACCGACUAGGAAAAGCUUAGGCAUUAACUGAUCGGUUACCAGUUUCGUCCUUCUGUAGGCGCAGGCUAUCGACAGUCCUGGUUCACCUGAAGGUUCUUCAGUACAAUGACAAAUUGGAUGACUACGACAUGAUCGCUUAACUUUAAAACAAACUGUUAUGGCCAAUGUUAAGUAUAACCACAGAUUGAUCCGCGGAUGUAUUGGUUAUUGCAUUUUUAUACAUGGAUAUUUAUUUUUCA
Brassica napus (rape) is the source of this 1057-nucleotide long non-coding RNA. RefSeq lists it as uncharacterized. The transcript has 3 exons. The record is from RefSeq and is a predicted model, not a curated record. NCBI's taxonomy places the organism in Eukaryota, Viridiplantae, Streptophyta, Magnoliopsida, Brassicales, Brassicaceae.